UUGUUUCACUGACAGUCUUUGCCC
Molecule: non-coding RNA, 24 nt
Filed under: Rattus norvegicus (Norway rat)
Lineage: Eukaryota; Metazoa; Chordata; Mammalia; Rodentia; Muridae
Source: RNAcentral